This 1539-nucleotide long non-coding RNA is filed under the name Triticum aestivum (bread wheat). RNAcentral's name for it is "long non-coding RNA (TAES_LNC003734)". The record is from RNAcentral. Lineage: Eukaryota; Viridiplantae; Streptophyta; Magnoliopsida; Poales; Poaceae.
GUAGCGAGUGGUUAAUUACUUAUGAUAUUUGGCAAAAGAAAGGCACAAGAAAACAAGCACAUGCAGUUGCAGCUCUUGCUUCAUUCCCCUAGAAUAUCAUCGACGGGUUUGCAUGCUUGAUCCCAGGCUCGAAGCCCAAGCUACCCCCACCUGUAACCAUGAAGGCAACAAUGGCUCAUAUCCGUAUUGGUGAAAACCGCAUGCGUGUCAAUAAAAAAUGCUAUAAGACAACAUAAUUUACCGUGAAUGUAAAUUGUCAACAUCAUCCUGAGUAAGUGAGGGCAGGAUAAACUUGCAUCAGUAGGUACAAUAUAUACUAUCAUAAUGAAAAGUGGUACAUGUAAUUCUCUAUUACAAAAAAUAACAUUAUGCAUUAUGCAUGAAGAUGUCGCUGGAUCCUUAGUACGCCUUGCCCAUCAGGCCAUCAACACAUCGAGCACAGGUAGACAUAGAAGCAUCGGUCAAGUCAUAGGGCUUAAGAGGAAAACGUGCCUGCACAUGAAGCAUUAUCAUUAACUGGGAAUGAAGGGUUCUACUUUCAAGUGUUUGUGAAGAACAUGGUGUAGAAGUCAUUGCCCAGGAUCACCGCCACACUUUCAUCUCAACAUCAAUACACUUCCAGUACCACUAAGGGAAAAUAGAGUUAAAAUUCAGUUCAGAACGAAAAUAGAAACAACCGUGGUCAAGAUGCAUAAUCCUUGUUCAAAUCAAACUGAUAGUCACCAAGUGCUAUAUAUUUUGGCUCCCUCCCAGAUCAAAUUAAUUUACAAUUAUGGAGGAUUGUUCUCAACAAAGUAAUCGACAAAGAAGUGAUCGCCAAUUGCACUGUCUACUUAUAUCUUUAUGAAAGCAAAUGCAAGUGGAAACUACCAAGGUUCGGUAAAUAAGGAUUGACCAGUAGCUCUUUUUUAAACUGGAAGGUACAAAGUCUUACUUCUCACCACACGGAGUGGAGACCACAUCUUGUCAUUCUAUUGAGGCGAUACAUCUCUGAUCUCCAGAUUUCAUCUCAUUGAGAUUUUCAUUCCCUCCAUUCAAGUGCAUAUACAUUCCGUUAAAACAAACUUUAUUCAGGACCAAGUGUUCCCAUGUAGCUUUAUGUCCAUGUUUCCUCUAAAGUUAAAUGUAUGAGAAACAAUCAUCAAGAAGAUAAAGGAAAAAUACAUGGUUUCUCACUGCAAAAAUAUCUUGGUUCCUGGUAAGGCCCUUCACAGAAAUGAAAAGAAAAACAAUAUCACAAAGACUUCUUUUCACCUCUACAAGAGAAAUUCUCAGGAGUAUGUAUCUUAGUUCUCUACCAUCGUUGGUCAAGUCACCAUACAAAGAUAACAGGUGAGAACAAACAAAAUUGAAUGCUAAGAAAGGGCGGGAGUUUUUCAUACAAAUAAAUAUGUAUAAACGUUAUUAAGCACAGCUUACAGCAAUCAAAAAUUAUGGUCGGCCAUGCAAUUUUAUUUUUUCUAAAUAGGGAUGGAUGCAAGGAUCAAAGUUUUAAUCUUACAUGUCAUGCAGUCCAAGGGAGAAGUUGCUUCUGCCACC